Molecule: ribosomal RNA, 322 nt
Filed under: Pristimantis surdus (cloud forest robber frog)
Lineage: Eukaryota; Metazoa; Chordata; Amphibia; Anura; Strabomantidae
Description: partial 12S ribosomal RNA
Rfam family: Bacterial small subunit ribosomal RNA
Source: RNAcentral
GCCCGGGAACUACGAGCAAAGCUUAAAACCCAAAGGACUUGACGGUACCCCAUAUCCCCCUAGAGGAGCCUGUCCUAUAAUCGAUACCCCCCGUUCAACCUCACCAUUUUUAGUUUACCAGCCUGUAUACUUCCGUCGCCAGCUUACCGCGUGAGCGUUACAAGUAAGCUUAAUGUCCACCCACAACACGUCAGGUCAAAGUGCAGCAAAUAAAAUGGGAAGAGAUGGGCUACACUUUCUAGCAUAGAAAAUACGAAAGACUACAUGAAACCCAGUCAGAAGGCGGAUUUAGUAGUAAGAAGGGUAUAGUAUACCCCCCUUA